GGAUAUCACACAAGUUUAUGAGGCUCUGGACCACAAGUUCAAGGACCUUGAUGCAAAGAAAACUGACUUUGAUAGACAUGGAAAGUAUGAAAACAGGAAGAAGCCUUCCAGAUAUUGUUGGAGUGUACUUUCCAAAGCCCUAGCCAUCAUAACCAAUGGGGAAAACAAGUAUUAAGAAUACAAACAGAGAAGACAAGAUACUAGUAUUCAAGAACUGAUACAGUCUCAGGGCUGAGAACUGGAAAGUUGUGUGAUAUUCAGCUCAACUGGCAGCCACAGAGGAUCUGAACUCAAGAAUAGGACUUCCUUUGUUCCACUGGGAUCUGCUGCUAGUUUAUAUUGUAUAAAAAUGAUCCCACCUUCUA
Molecule: long non-coding RNA, 365 nt
Organism: Anolis carolinensis (green anole)
Lineage: Eukaryota; Metazoa; Chordata; Lepidosauria; Squamata; Anolidae
Exons: 3
Source: RefSeq, a predicted model, not a curated record